UCAUUUCGCAAGGGACAAACGGAAUGAAUAGUGCCUACUCGGGAAAAGACCGUUCUGCCCUCCUUUGAGAUUUUCCUUGUUUUUUGCUGCGUGCUUUUCUUCACUCACAGAACAGUCAAUCUCUUCGAUUUGAUUGUUUCGUUUCGUGCCUGGGUUGUUCUGUUUUCCAACAAUGGGUUUGGUUUGUCUUCGGCUUUAGGAUAAUCGUGUUUGGGGGGGGUAGGUGAUCUGCUACAACUAAACCAGACUGUAUGCAAAGAAGUGUGUAUUAUUCUUCUGCCGCUGUUCCUGUGUACAUUGUUUGGGAUUAUCUCACUGUCUUAUUGCUAUUCAGCAAAGUGCGGGCAACUAUUGCUUGUACGAAAGCUAAACUACACUUUUCCUGUUCAUUUCGCAUACGACAAAAGGAAUGAAUAGUGUCUCCUCCGGAAAAGACCAUUCUGCCCUCCGUUGAGACAAAUUCUAAAUAUAUGAAAGCAACAGUGUAUAGAGAGUCGUCGAACGCAGAUAUUGAUCUUGAUUGUUUGACAAUUUCAACUGCAUCCGUGAAGCUGCCAGAUACUGAGGUUGGGUUGGCACGAAAGUUGGCCUGAUAACAAGUACAAAAGACCGCUGGGGUAGGAAAAAGAAGAGGAAAUAUUGAAGAUUUCGGUCGACUUUCGGAGGACGGUUUGGGUUGAGGAAGGUUUUAAUAGAAGAAGAGGUGAUGGUGUGACAGAUUAAAAGCCUAAUCCUUCAAUAUAUUUGAUAGCUGCAAAGGCUACAAAAAGGUUUUCGGAGCAGCUUGAGGCUCUGGAAAGAUCUGCAGAGGCAAUAUCUUUUGGUGGAAUGAACCACACUUUCCUAUUGUGUUCUGAUACAUGUUAGCACGCAUAUAUAUUGAUUGAUUUGUAGAUGAUGAAUGCUAGGCAGCCGUCGAAGCGAUGAUGAAUGUGAGGAGAGCUUCUCUUUCUUAUUCAAAAGGAAUGCAAAUUGCUUGAUACUAUUUCCUUUUUUAUUUGUGCUUUUUGUAAUUCUUUUUGGGUUGUUGUAAAUUCAGAGAUGGAUAUGAUGAAAGAGAUUGUCAAAAUUGUUGUUUGGUGAAGACAUGUCAGUUUUUUGUGAUAAACCCACAAUCCCCAAUUGGUUGAAAUUAAUGCACAUUCUCUAUUCAGCAAAUGGUUCUCCGAAAGUGGCAAGUUGAAUGUGUCUGCUUUUUGUAAAGUAAAGUUGGAUUUGGAACAUGCAGUUGUACCAUUAAUCUAAGGUUGCAAAGCUUUCCAAAAAAUUCAAGAGAGGUAGAGGAGGAAACCAAUCUGGUAUUUAUUUUGAUUGAUGAAGUUGAAAGCCUUGCUGCUGCUACAAAAUCUGCUUUAUCAGGUUCUGAACCUUCAGAUUCUAUUCAGGUCACACCAGCUUCUUUUCUAAAAUGGCACCUUCAAAUUAACAUGCCAGAUGGUGAAUGCGCUACUAACUCAGCUGGAGAAGUCAAAAUCAGCACCAAAUGUGAUAAUUUUGACAACAUCCAAGAUAACUGCUGCUAUUGUGGCGGCCCAUCACAUCUAAGGACAAACGAACUGCUGACCAACACAGCCGUCAACAGUAGAUGAAGCAGCUAAUGACACAUCUGAAGACCUCAUGUAGAAUAAUUGGUCCAGACUAAAAAUGUAGGCUAUUUGGCAUGGUGGUAACCACUUUUGUAAUCUGUAUAUAACAUAGAGCUGCAGUUAGAAUACGAAUUUUUUGAGAAAUGUAACUGCACAAGCUUGGUUAAAAUACCAGCUUCUACUCGAGAAUAUCCAAUUUUGAACUAAGUAAGUAUAAAAGUC
Molecule: long non-coding RNA, 1808 nt
Organism: Rosa chinensis
Lineage: Eukaryota; Viridiplantae; Streptophyta; Magnoliopsida; Rosales; Rosaceae
Exons: 12
Source: RefSeq, a predicted model, not a curated record